RNAcentral lists this ribosomal RNA (277 nucleotides) under Klebsiella quasipneumoniae. RNAcentral's name for it is "23S rRNA. Bacterial LSU". It matches the Rfam family "Bacterial large subunit ribosomal RNA", at positions 2655 to 2925 of the family's 2925-position model. Lineage: Bacteria; Pseudomonadati; Pseudomonadota; Gammaproteobacteria; Enterobacterales; Enterobacteriaceae. The record is from RNAcentral.
UGGAGAAUUGAGGGGGGCUGCUCCUAGUACGAGAGGACCGGAGUGGACGCAUCACUGGUGUUCGGGUUGUCAUGCCAAUGGCACUGCCCGGUAGCUAAAUGCGGAAGAGAUAAGUGCUGAAAGCAUCUAAGCACGAAACUUGCCCCGAGAUGAUUUCUCCCUGAGACUUUAAGUCUCCUGAAGGAACGUUGAAGACGACGACGUUGAUAGGCCGGGUGUGUAAGCGCAGCGAUGCGUUGAGCUAACCGGUACUAAUGAACCGUGAGGCUUAACCUUA